This 249-nucleotide ribosomal RNA is filed under the name uncultured Glomus. RNAcentral describes it as "partial 18S ribosomal RNA". The stretch from base 40 to 249 matches the Rfam family "Eukaryotic small subunit ribosomal RNA", at positions 686 to 894 of the family's 1831-position model. The record is from RNAcentral. Lineage: Eukaryota; Fungi; Glomeromycota; Glomeromycetes; Glomerales; Glomeraceae.
GGGUUAGUAGGUUGGUCAUGCCUCUGGUAUGUACUGGUCUCACUGAUUCCUCCUUCCUGAUGAGCCGUAAUGCCAUUAAUUUGGUGUUGCGAGGAAUCUGGACUGUUACUUUGAAAAAAUUAGAGUGUUUAAAGCAGGCAUUUUGCUUGAAUACAUUAGCAUGGAAUAAUAAAAUAGGACGGCAUGAUUCUAUUUUGUUGGUUUCUAGGAUCACCGUAAUGAUUUAAUAGGGAUAGUUGGGCAAACAAC